AGUCACUGACAUUAGAUACCCCGGUAGUCCAGGGUGUAAACGCUGCAGACUUGGUGUUGGGAACCCUUCGGGGGUGCUCAGUGCCGGAGAGAAGUUGUUAAGUCUGCUACUUGGGGAGUACGUCCGCAAGGAUGAAACUUAAAGGAAUUGGCGGGGGAGCACCGCAACGGGAGGAGCGUGCGGUUUAAUUGGAUUCAACGCCGAAAAACUCACCAGCAGCGACUGUUACAUGAAAGUCAGGUUGAUGACCUUACUAGAUUUUCAG
Molecule: ribosomal RNA, 265 nt
Filed under: uncultured archaeon
Lineage: Archaea
Description: partial 16S ribosomal RNA
Rfam family: Archaeal small subunit ribosomal RNA
Source: RNAcentral